Solanum lycopersicum (tomato) is the source of this 594-nucleotide long non-coding RNA. RefSeq lists it as uncharacterized. The record is from RefSeq and is a predicted model, not a curated record. NCBI's taxonomy places the organism in Eukaryota, Viridiplantae, Streptophyta, Magnoliopsida, Solanales, Solanaceae.
CAAUAUAGUAUCCAAAUAGAGAAAUACGAAUAUUCUGAAAAAUAAUAAAUAAGGAUAGUUAGGGCAAUAUUAUAAUCCUAUAUUAAUUAGGAAGUGGUAACCAAAUUAAAACCUUAUAUAAAUCGCACAUAAUUCGUUCACCUUCAUAUGUCGUUUUUACAUAUUCAUUCGUUGGACGUGUAAACAAGCUUUUUUUUGAAUAUGAAGAUUUUUGUGAGGACUUUAGUAGGCACGCAAUUCAAGAUCGAUGUGAACCCUAAACAUACCGUGGCUGAUGUGAAGAAAAGCAUAAAUAGAGCUCUAGGUCAAGUUUUUUACUCUGAUGCACAACAAAUGCGUAUCCACAGCUACAAGGGUAAAAUUUUGGAGGACUCAAAAACAUUGGAGGAAAACGAAGUAUCUCACAAUAGUUUUCUUAUUGUAAUAUUUUUCGAGGUACCAAUUGGGAACUUAGUUUUUUCUCCCAUCCUACCUUUACAGUUUCAUUUAGAGCUAGAUAGUUUACCUCAAAAGUCAUAACGAAUUUUAGUUGAACUUAAUUUUCAAACUUUUUAUUGUUGAAUUCUAAUAUAUUGAAGCUUAUUGUAUUUUAUA